AUAAAAAUUUAAUCAGUUAAUGCUAAACUGAAAGAUAGAGGAAAAAGUCCUGGUUUAAUGUUUCUAUAUUUAAUUUAAUUAUAGACCUGAAAAGAAAACAGUAAAUACUACCAAUACGAGGAUUUAGUAGCAGUAUUUUAACACAAGAACCGUGAGAAUUCUUGUUUGACCGUGAUAAGCGGGUCGGACUGCGAUAGUUAAUGAUGAAGAUAAGUGUUCAACGAAUCGACCAUUUUUAUGUGUUCCAUAUCCGCUGGACAAUGAAUGUUUUAGAUGCAACGGGUCGACCAGGAUCUUUUUCGAUAGGAUACAUUGCCUAGCUGGAAUGCUAUUCACGUUCGGAACGUAUCACCUAGUCUCUGCCACGACGUCCACAAAUUUUUAAUUUUGGAACUCGAAAAUUUAAGACAUUUUAAAACAGAAUACGAGACUGAUAUUUCCGAAAUUAUUUAAUGAAUAUGUUUAUAAAAUCUAUUCGUUUAAAUUAAAGCGCAGAUAUGAAUCAUUGUCGGCGUGGCUGCUGAUGCAAACGAUGUAUUACAAAGCCUGGAACGAGUAUGCUGGUUUAUGGCUUAUGCGCCGCUCACAAUGUGCUAUAUGGAUAAAUAAUGAAGUAUUCUUGCGAAACAGACGAACCAGGACAGGACGCACCCUUUUUCAAUGGGCUGUCCACCAGAUGUGUGCACAUCCAUGUAAACUGCACUUGGUUUUUCCCAUUCUUCCCUUUUCUACAGAAAUUGUAAAACGUUUGUUUUGAAAAUGUUUAUUGGGAAGUUAAGCAUACCAAAUGGAUGAAGGGAUACAUUAGUUCAGUAAAUAUGUAACUGAAGAUUUGUUUAUGAAACAUAGUGCAAACAUUCAACUGUGUAAUGGAAAUGGACUAACUCUAUCCGUCCAGGUGCAGUUAACAGAGUCCCCAGAGAUCAAUAUGAUAGUAUUUCAGGAUAGUCACUAUUACUAAUAAAUAUAAGCACUGAAGUAUUGCCUGUUUGAAGACGAGAUUUCCCUAAGUCGAACCGGUGUUUUCACGAAGAAUGAUGGGUUCGAAGAUUGAAGGUUCAGUGGGUUAAGCUAGCAGAACGCUCGUGAGUUCCACUCAACGUAUAAUCCCGAUGGAGGCGUGCCUUUAAACAGAGGACUUCCUGUAUUCUCAACGCGUCCCGUACGAUUCGAGCCGUGAAUGUCGAUAAACGAUGACCGAGUCUAUCAUCAUGCACAAUCCGCAAAUUAAGCAAAUAACAAUGGUCGAGUUAUACACGAUACAAUGUAUGGAAUGCGAUUAAAUUCUUGCAAAGCUGUCCAUCGUUUAGCAGAAAAUAGCAGAAGAACGCGGUCUUAUGGCUUUUCUCUGAAAGUAUUUGACACCCAUUUUCCGUGCCAAAUAUGCCAAGUUCAGCACUACAACGAUGGUAUCGAUUAUUUGUCGAUAACAGCUCUACUCUAGCGACGACACUUGGAUCACUGUAAACUCAAUAAGCCUGAGGAUCCAAAUCAGGGAGUGAAGGUACGCAAUGUACGUACUCUUGUUAGAUUGCAAUGGUCAACAAUGCAAAAGAGAAUAAGUAUGAACGCGUGAAGCAGUUGCAGGGAUAGAAGUAACUGGGCCACAGUGUA
RNAcentral lists this long non-coding RNA (1614 nucleotides) under Megachile rotundata (alfalfa leafcutting bee). RNAcentral describes it as "uncharacterized LOC105662609, transcript variant X1". The record is from RNAcentral. Lineage: Eukaryota; Metazoa; Arthropoda; Insecta; Hymenoptera; Megachilidae.